CAACUUCCACCUGGCUUACCUCCNUCAUUUAUGCGUCAUGACUUGUAUUGUCUUGAGCGUAUUGUGGGUUUCCUGUGUUGCAUACCUUUCUAAUGGUAUCGUGUUGAUUGAUCGAAGUCCCUUUUCAUCUUGUGUUGCUUUUUGCGACGCAUGAUGAACCUCGAGGCGGUCUCUAUGUUCCACCAUGUUGAUGCUACUGUUUCGAUGUUGUGGCCCAUUGAGCGUUGCUUGGUUUCGUGGAUACAGAACAUGAUUUGGGCAUAGGGUUACUUGUGACCCUUGUUCUGUCCUUUAUCAGUGUUCUUUAUAACGACGGUUCAUGCGCGCCUAGGCUCGUACCUGCGCGAUGUUCUUUGUCGAAGAGGAAUGCUACCUGGUUGAUCCUGCCAGUAGUCAUAUGCUUGUCUCAAAGAUUAAGCCAUGCAUGUGUAAGU
Molecule: unclassified non-coding RNA, 434 nt
Filed under: Senecio halophilus
Lineage: Eukaryota; Viridiplantae; Streptophyta; Magnoliopsida; Asterales; Asteraceae
Description: partial contains external transcribed spacer and 18S ribosomal RNA
Rfam family: Eukaryotic small subunit ribosomal RNA (bases 371-434)
Source: RNAcentral